UGAAUCUCAGUUCAGCUUUAAAGAUACCAAAAAUACAAAUAAAUCUCACUGUAUCUUUAAAAGUUAGUCUAAAAAGGUACAGCUUUUUAGAAACGGAUACAACCUUUACUAGAGAGUAAAAUCUAACAACACCAUAGUAGGCUUAAAAGCAGCCAUCAAUUAAGAAAGCGUUAAAGCUCAACAAUAUAAACAACAUUAAUUCCAACAAUAAUAUAACCAACUCCUAGACCCAGUACUGGACUAUUCUAUUACUAAAUAGAAGUAACAAUGUUAAUAUGAGUAACAAGAAAAAUUUUCUCCUUGCACAAGUUUAAGUCAGUAUCUGAUAAUACCCUGACUGUUAACAGUAAAUAAAAAUAACCCAACAAUAAAUAAUUUAUUAAUUGUACUGUUAACCCAACACAGGAGUGCAUACAGGAAAGAUUAAAAGAAGUAAAAGGAACUCGGCAAACACAAACCCCGCCUGUUUACCAAAAACAUCACCUCCAGCAUCUCUAGUAUUGGAGGCACUGCCUGCCCAGUGACUAACCGUUAAACGGCCGCGGUAUCCUGACCGUGCAAAGGUAGCAUAAUCAUUUGUUCUCUAAAUAAGGACUUGUAUGAACGGCCACACGAGGGUUUUACUGUCUCUUACUUCCAAUCAGUGAAAUUGACCUCCCCGUGAAGAGGCGGGGAUAAACCAACAAGACGAGAAGACCCUAUGGAGCUUUAACUAAUUAACCCAAGGAAAAUAAAUCUAACCACCAAGGGAUAACUACACUCUUUAUGGGUUAACAGUUUCGGUUGGGGUGACCUCGGAGAAUAAAAAAUCCUCCGAGCGAUUUUAAAGACUAGACCUACAAGUCAAAUCAAACCAUCGCUUAUUGAUCCAAAAACUUGAUCAACGGAACAAGUUACCCUAGGGAUAACAGCGCAAUCCUAUUCAAGAGUCCAUAUCGACAAUAGGGUUUACGACCUCGAUGUUGGAUCAGGACACCCCGAUGGUGCAACAGCUAUCAAAGGUUCGUUUGUUCAACGAUUAAAG
Molecule: ribosomal RNA, 1024 nt
Filed under: Oreamnos americanus (mountain goat)
Lineage: Eukaryota; Metazoa; Chordata; Mammalia; Artiodactyla; Bovidae
Description: partial 16S ribosomal RNA
Rfam family: Bacterial large subunit ribosomal RNA
Source: RNAcentral